UUUCGGUUGGAAGUCCCCUCUAAGGUGUGUCUCUUGCAGUAAGAUGAUAUCGGCUCCCUGUCUAUCUAUCUCCUGCGCCAACAUAGUGCGCUUCAUAGGAGAAUUCAGCCCCGCACAUUCAGGGACAUUAUUUUAGUCCGGGUCAUUUUAGUGUUUUAUGGGCUAGUCUCCUAUCUGGUGGGUCAGAGCGUUUGUUGUUUAGCACGGGAGUCAAGUGGGCUAAAUAGGCAGGAUAGGUUUGGGGAAGG
Pelobates cultripes (western spadefoot toad) is the source of this 248-nucleotide non-coding RNA. NCBI's taxonomy places the organism in Eukaryota, Metazoa, Chordata, Amphibia, Anura, Pelobatidae. The record is from the annotation of a GenBank genome assembly.